Molecule: long non-coding RNA, 225 nt
Organism: Spea bombifrons (plains spadefoot toad)
Lineage: Eukaryota; Metazoa; Chordata; Amphibia; Anura; Pelobatidae
Exons: 2
Source: RefSeq, a predicted model, not a curated record
ACUGAUACAGCAAAGACAAGAAAAUCCCUAGUAGAACGCAAGUCCUGGAAGAUCCGCAGGUUCUUUUCUCUGUGACAUCUCAAUGGUACCUGCAGACAUAAUGACACGUAGUUAUCAAAAAGGUGAAACCUCAAUAAAACACUGCAGGAAAAUGACGAUCACAAAAAUCUACCAAGACACCAGCGUAAACAAGAGAGUGGUUUGGAAAAAGCUUAGUACGUUCCA